GAUGAAGAACGUAGUGAAAUGCGAUAAGUAGUGUGAAUUGCAGAAUUCAGUGAAUCAUCGAAUCUUUGAACGCACAUUGCGCCCGCCAGUAUUCUGGCGGGCAUGCCUGUUCGAGCGUCAUUUCAACCCUCAAGCCCCCGGGCUUGGUGUUGGGGAUCGGCGUGCCCUCGCGGCGCGCCGUCCCCUAAAUCUAGUGGCGGUCUCGCUGUAGCUUCCUCUGCGUAGUAGCAACACUCGCACUGGAUCGCAGCGCGGCCACGCCGUUAAACCCCCCACUUCUGAAAGUUUGACCUCGGAUCAGGUAGGAAUACCCGCUGAACUUAAGCAUAUCAAUAAGCGGAGGA
This 344-nucleotide unclassified non-coding RNA is filed under the name soil metagenome. RNAcentral describes it as "partial contains 5.8S ribosomal RNA, internal transcribed spacer 2, and large subunit ribosomal RNA". The stretch from base 1 to 120 matches the Rfam family "5.8S ribosomal RNA", at positions 35 to 154 of the family's 154-position model. The record is from RNAcentral.